AGACGAAAAUGAUGAAAAAAUAAGACAAAACUGUGUGAUCAUCAAACCCUAUGUGUUUGAUAUGAUCAAACACCUUAUCGCUACGUUCUUUCUGAUUCGUCU
Molecule: small nucleolar RNA, 102 nt
Organism: Lotus japonicus
Lineage: Eukaryota; Viridiplantae; Streptophyta; Magnoliopsida; Fabales; Fabaceae
Product: small nucleolar RNA R32/R81/Z41
Exons: 1
Source: RefSeq, a predicted model, not a curated record